RNAcentral lists this long non-coding RNA (881 nucleotides) under Lynx canadensis (Canada lynx). RNAcentral's name for it is "lncRNA (ENSLCNG00005007307.1)". The record is from RNAcentral. Lineage: Eukaryota; Metazoa; Chordata; Mammalia; Carnivora; Felidae.
CAACUGAGCCACCUAGGCGCCCCCAAGCUGUUUCUAUAGCACAGACAAUUUGCAGAACUGAUUGAGGAGAGAAAGAUGUUUGGAGAAAACAGAAGGGAAACUGGCCUGGGGGAGCAAGAGUUGGAGAAGUGGUCAAGGGGCCUCAAAGGGAUCCAGCCCUAAUUUGUCCUGAAUUGGGAAGCUGCCAGCACAAGUGUAACCUCAGCACUGCUUAGGAUUAUUAAUCUGGCAGGUUCCUUAUACCAGGACAAAAGAAAGGGAAGAACCUGGAGCAGGGAGACAUUUAGAAAGCUGGGGCAAUGGCCCAGGCAAGAAUGAGAUGAACAAGGAAUUGAUAAGGGAUAAGGUAGAGCAGAAGUCAGGAGGAGGGAUCCAAGAGGUCCUGCUGACCUCUCCCUCUGUUGAUCUGGGAUGAGGGCAGAGACAGAAGCUGGAGUUCACUUUCCCACAGUGAAAGAAGACAGGUAAGGAGCUCCCUUACUAAGGAUGGAGGUGGGACUCCAGGGCUGGUAAGGCAAGAGACAGGCUCUUCCAGACCUGCAGGACAGUCAGAAGAUGUGAGGAGGGGUAUGAGAGACAGAGUGCAGAAGCAGGUGUAGAUGGUUGACUAUAAAUAACCUAUCUGAUCUUCUAGUCUCCUGCCCUCGACCUGAAGAUGUGGGGUCUUAGGCCAGUGCAGCCAUCCCAGAAAAUCAGAACAAAGGCUUCCUGUGAUUCUUGGGAACACAGUCCUCUACCAUCCGUCCGCCUGCCAUACCCUUACCGUGGAGAGUUCUGCUGCCUGUCAGUACAUUAAGGCUCAGAAAAGCCCCAAGGGAGAGAAACCUGUUUCAUCCUGUUUAAUGGCUCAAUAAACAAGGUUAUUUGCACAGAAGGAGCCU